GACGAACGCUGGCGGCGUGCUUAACACAUGCAAGUCGAACGGUAAGGCCCUUCGGGGUACACGAGUGGCGAACGGGUGAGUAGCACGUGGGUGAUCUGCCCUGCACUUCGGGAUAAGCCUGGGAAACUGGGUCGAAUACCGGAUAGGACCACUGCCUGCAUGGGUGGUGGUGGAAAGCUUUUGCGGUGUGGGAUGGGCCCGCGGCCUAUCAGCUUGUUGGUGGGGUGAUGGCCUACCAAGGCGACGACGGGUAGCCGGCCUGAGAGGGUGACCGGCCACACUGGGACUGAGAUACGGCCCAGACUCCUACGGGAGGCAGCAGUGGGGAAUAUUGCACAAUGGGCGCAAGCCUGAUGCAGCGACGCCGCGUGAGGGAUGACGGCCUUCGGGUUGUAAACCUCUUUCAGCACCGACGAAGCGCAAGUGACGGUAGGUGCAGAAGAAGGACCGGCCAACUACGUGCCAGCAGCCGCGGUAA
RNAcentral lists this ribosomal RNA (478 nucleotides) under uncultured bacterium. Its description in RNAcentral is "partial 16S ribosomal RNA". It matches the Rfam family "Bacterial small subunit ribosomal RNA", at positions 28 to 523 of the family's 1533-position model. The record is from RNAcentral.